GUGCUUGCUUUGGCAACACAUACACUAAAAUCAGAACAAUACAGAGAAGAUUAGCAUGGUCCCUGCCCAAGGAUGACACGCAAAUUCGUGAGGCAUUCCAUAUUUUU
Molecule: small nuclear RNA, 107 nt
Filed under: Catagonus wagneri (Chacoan peccary)
Lineage: Eukaryota; Metazoa; Chordata; Mammalia; Artiodactyla; Tayassuidae
Source: RNAcentral